UACGUAGGCAGCAAGCGUUGUUCGGAGUUACUGGGCGUAAAGAGUGCGUAGGCGGUGCUCCAAGUCUGUUGUGAAAUCUCCCGGCUUAACUGGGAGGGUGCGGUGGAAACUGGGGUGCUUGAGUAUGGGAGAGGUAAGCGGAAUUCCUGGUGUAGCGGUGAAAUGCGUAGAUAUCGUAAGGAAGACCAGUGGCGAAGGCGGGUCUCUGGACAGUUCCUGACGCUGAGGCACGAAGGUCAGGGGAGCAAACGGG
RNAcentral lists this ribosomal RNA (253 nucleotides) under uncultured bacterium. RNAcentral's name for it is "partial 16S ribosomal RNA". It matches the Rfam family "Bacterial small subunit ribosomal RNA", at positions 524 to 776 of the family's 1533-position model. The record is from RNAcentral.